Molecule: small nuclear RNA, 197 nt
Organism: Suricata suricatta (meerkat)
Lineage: Eukaryota; Metazoa; Chordata; Mammalia; Carnivora; Herpestidae
Gene: U2
Rfam family: U2 spliceosomal RNA
About the family: U2 is a small nuclear RNA (snRNA) component of the spliceosome (involved in pre-mRNA splicing). Complementary binding between U2 snRNA (in an area lying towards the 5' end but 3' to hairpin I) and the branchpoint sequence (BPS) of the intron results the bulging out of an unpaired adenosine, on the BPS, which initiates a nucleophilic attack at the intronic 5' splice site, thus starting the first of two transesterification reactions that mediate splicing.
Source: Ensembl
AUCGCUUCUCAGCCUUUUGGCUAAGAUCAAGUGUAGUGUCUGUUCUAUCAGUUUAAUAAUGAAAACAAGAAAUCCAAAACCAAGGGUUGGUUACGUCUAAGGGCUGGUGAAGAAGAAUCUUUUCCAUACCUUUCUCCUCUAGCUUCUAGUGGUUUUCUGGCAACAUUUGGUAUUCCUUGAUGUGUAGAAGAAUCACC